UUUUAAUAUUACAAUAUGGAAAUGAUCUAUAUCGAUGAAGAAGAGGAAGCAACAAGUUCUAUUGCUUUACCAUGGCCAAAUUGAGCAUAUUUUAAAAUAAUAUCUCAAAACAAAGAAAACAAUUAAUUCUCUGAUGGUAAAAGGUUUGCCGUGUCUACCUAAAAAUACAAAAAUAUCCGUCAGUAUGACUUCAACGUGCAAUAUCGUGAAGCACAUAAGGAUGGCAUGCAGCCAUUAUAAAAGAAAACAAUUGAUACAAAGAUUAGCUGGUGAAUUAUCAAAGUCAUCAACUGACUGCAAGCAAAUAACCUGCCAAAAAAAACAAAUAAUUUAAUUUCAGAUUUUUUUCAGUACCCUACA
Long non-coding RNA from Gordionus sp. m RMFG-2023, 360 nucleotides. RefSeq lists it as uncharacterized. Lineage: Eukaryota; Metazoa; Nematomorpha; Gordioida; Chordodea; Parachordodidae. The record is from RefSeq and is a predicted model, not a curated record. The transcript is spliced from 3 exons.